RNAcentral lists this ribosomal RNA (1447 nucleotides) under uncultured organism. RNAcentral's name for it is "16S ribosomal RNA". It matches the Rfam family "Bacterial small subunit ribosomal RNA". The record is from RNAcentral.
CGCUGGUGGCGUGCCUUACACAUGCAAGUCGAACGGUAACAGGUCUUCGGAUGCUGACGAGUGGCGAACGGGUGAGUAAUACAUCGGAACGUGCCCAGUAUGGGCGGAUAACUCGGCGAAAGCCGGAUUAAUACCGCAUACGCCCUGAGGGGGGAAGUGGGGGAUCGCAAGACCUCACGUUAUUGGAGCGGCCGAUGGCUGAUUAGCUAGUUGGUAGGGUAGAAGGCCUACCAAGGCGACGAUCAGUAACUGGUCUGACAGGACGAUCAUCCACACUGGGACUGAGACACGGACCAGACUCCUACGGAAGGCAACACUGGCGAAAUUUGGACAAUGGGGGAAACCCUGAUCCAUCAAUGCCGCGAGUGCAAACAAAGCCUUCGGCUUGUAAAGCACUUUUGUCACGUAAGAAAUCCUUUGGUCUAAUACCCUAGGGGGAUGACGGUACCUGAAGAAUAAGCACCAGCUAACUACGUGCCAGCAGCCGCGCUAAUACAUAUGGUGCACGCGUUACUCGGAAUUACUGGGCGGAAAGCGUGCGCCCGCAGUUGUGGAAGACAGGUGUGAAAUCCCCGGACUGAACCUGCGAAUUGCAUUUGUGACUGCUCGACUACAGUGUGUCAUAGGGGGUUGGAAUUCCACGUGUAGCAGAGAAAUGCGUAGAUAUGAGUAGGAACACCAAUGGCGAAGGCAGCCCGCUGGGAUAACACUGACGCUCAUGCACGAAAGAGUGGGGAGCAAACAGGAUUAGAUACGUUGGUAGUGCACGCGAUAAAUGAUGUCAAUUAGUUGUUGGGGAUUUAUUUCCUUGGUAACGUAGGUAACGAGUGAAGUUGACGGCGUGGGGAGUACGACGGCAAGGUUAAAAAUCAAAGGAAUUGACGGGGACCCGCACAAGCGGUGGAUGAUGUGGAUUAAUUCGAUGCAACGAGAAAAACCUUAUCUAGCCUUGACAUGGCAGGAACUUUCCAGAGAUGUAUUGGUGCUAGAAAGAGAACCUGCACACAGGUGGUGCAUGUCUGUUGUCAGCUCGAGUCGUGAGAUGUUGGGUUAAGUCGAGCAACGAGCGCAUCCCUUGUCAUUAGCUGUUAGGAAAGGGCAUUAUAAUGAGACUGCCGGUGACAAACCGGAGGAAGGUGGGGAUGACGUCAAGUCUUCAUGGCCCUUAUGGGUAGGGCUUCACACGUCAUCCAAUGGUCGGUACAGAGGGUAGCCAAGCCGCGAGGUGGAGCCAAUCCCAGAAACCCGAUCGUAGUCCGGAUCGCAGUCUGCAACUCGACUGCGUGAAGUCGGAAUCGCUAGUAAUCGCGGAUCAGAAUGCCGCGGUGAAUACGUUCCCGGGUCUUGUACACACCGCCCGUCACACCAUGGGAGUGGGUUGUACCAGAAGUGGCCAGUCUAACCGCAAGGAGGCCGGUCACCACGGUAGGAUUCAUGACUGGGGUGA